This 6330-nucleotide long non-coding RNA is filed under the name Vitis vinifera (wine grape). Its description in RNAcentral is "long non-coding RNA (VVIN_LNC002074)". The record is from RNAcentral. Lineage: Eukaryota; Viridiplantae; Streptophyta; Magnoliopsida; Vitales; Vitaceae.
UGACAAGUCAUUGGAUUACAAGAAGACGAGGAUGAUGGCGAAUGAUUACAGCAGUGUUUUGCCGGGGGAGCAGGUGAAUUUGGAGCCGUUCAUUGCAGCUCUUUCCGAGGUGGGGCAUGUUGAAUUUGUGAGAGCCCCUUCAGCAGCCUAGAAGAGGCCAGUACUCUCGUGGAGAAGAGGAUCCAAGGGGCAUGCAAGCAGAUGACCGGUGAAUUUCCAUUUUCGAGAUGAAAAUGUUGGUUAUUUUUGUGGUUUGGGGGUUUGUCACGGUUAGUGAAUUUUUACGUUGUUCACUUGUAAUAUCCUUAAUGAUUGCCCACUACAAGGCAAAUUACUUCCAGUCAUACAUAAAAUCUCAAAGACACUCUGUUUUAUCUGCUGUUGAACUCUGUUUUUUUUUUUUUUUUUGCUCUUUUUCUCCCUCCUUUUUCUUUUUAUUUAUUUAUUUUCUUUGGGAAAUGGAAUUGAAAUACGUGGGACAAGAAUCGUAUAGGCUUAUUUGAGACAACAAAACAUCCACCCAGUCCCAGUCGCGGACCUGUUAUGGUGAAGGCAAGUUGAUUAAGGACGGUACAGCAGGGCACUUAAUUAUGGCUAGGUUAUAUCCCAACUUGUGGGUAGAAAAAAAAGGGUAAUAUUAAAAUGAGAACCAAUUUAAAAAGCAUUUUUGAAUUUAAUUUAAUUUUAAUUUAUUUGUUAUUUAUAAUUUUGAAGUUAAUUUUAACUUAUUUAUUAAGAGGAAAAAUUAUACUUAUAAGAAGGAUUAAAUGUACAUAAAAAAAAAUAUUCGUAUGUGAAAAGAAAAGAAAUAUUGAAAAAUAGUAAGAAAACUUUAUUUUAGGCAUAACUAAUGAUUGGUUGAAAGUUUUCAUUAUCAUUCUCAUUUGACAUUUCUUUUUACCAUAUAAGUGAUUUGAUUUGAAUGGAAAGUUGGAUACUAGAUCUUUAAGGAUAAGGAAGGAGAUUAAUUUAAUCAGAUUUCUUUUUAUCUCUUUUACUUUUUUAAAUUAAAAGAAAAUAAAAAAAAUAGAGAGAAAAAAAUAAAAGAAAUAAAAAAUAGAUUUAAAAUUAAUAAAUUAUUUUUAUAUAUAUUUUAAAACUCAUUUCACUUAUUUCCUAUAUAAUUUUAAAAUAUAUAAAUUAUUAAUUAAUUUUAAUUAUAUUUAUUUUUUUUAUAAUGAAACUAAAAAUUAAAAAAAAUAUUAUAUAUAAGGGUGGAGGUUAAUUUAAUUACAUCUUUUCUUAAUUUAUUUUAAAUUUUUAUCUGCUUAGUUUUAAUAUUGAGGGAAAAUACUAAAAAAAGAAAAGAAAAAAUAAAAAAAUAAAAAAGAAAAUUAGAAAAUAAUUUUAAAAUUAAUAAAUUAUUUUUAUGUGUUUUUUCAAAGUUAUUUCACAUGUUUCUCUAUGUAAUAUAAGGAUUAAAUAAAUUUUAAAUAUUUUAAAUUUAAUUAUAAUUGAUUUUUUUAUAUAACAAAAUUAAAUAUAAAAAAUCAUUUUUCUUAAUAUUUUAUUUUAUUUUUAUUGUUUUUUGUUUAGUAUGCAGAAGCUCUCAUUCCACUUGUGUCGGCAAAAACAUCAUUGUAAAUAUAUUAAAAGAAAAACAUAAAAAAUAAAGCAAAUCACGUAAAAGGUACACAAAGUUUUAAUAUGAUUUGAUCAAUUAUGACUAUUUUCACCAAUGAGAAAGAACAUUUUAUCAUAUGAUAGAAAAUAUUAUAAAGAACAAAAAUCUAAAAAAAUACAAUUACGAGAUCUCUAUCUUAAAAUAUGAGCCGUUUUACUUCAUUAAAUGUUUUUUUUUUUCAUCACAUUUACUUCCCAGUAAACCCCCUUUCUCUACUAGAUGUAUGUCGUUCUUUCUCAUAUUUUUAUUCCAUCUCUCUCAUAACUUUUUUUUAAAAUAAAAUAUUUAUAAAGAUAUUUCUAUUAACUUCGUAAGAAUCUAAUUAUUAUCACAUAUAAAUUAAAAAAUAUUAUAUAUAAUAUUUCUUUUACAAAUAUAUUCCCCAUCACUUUCCCGCCAAACAUAGGAUAAAUGAUGCUCUUUAUGUCCUAAUCUUUCCAAACUUUCAAGUAUUCUUUUACUUAGAAAUUACAAAUUUGAUACAAAUUGGGCCACCAUUUGAGAGUCCAAUCCCUCCAGCCAGAUUUAUAGGUGAGUUUAACUUGAAUUGAAGAAGUAGGAAUGUAAAAAUACUGGGAUUGACAUGAAUUCAAGAUCAGAAAACCCCCGAAAGCCAAAUCCAGCACAUUAUUGAUUUAUUUUUAUUUUAUUAUAAUAUAAAAAACAUAAAUUAUAAAAAAACAUAAAUUAUAAAAAAACACUAACUUUCUUAAUUUUUAAUUACAUUUUAAUUAUUAAAAUAUCUUUAAUAGUUAUAGUUAAAGUUUGAGCUUAUGAAUAAUUAUUUAUGUUAAAAUAAUAAUUAAUAAUUUACAGUUUUGACACCUUUUUGUUUUUUGACUUGAAGAAAAAAAAUAGUAGUAACUUAUAUAAAAAAUGAAAAAUUUUAUUAAAAAAAAUUAAACUUAUUUCAUGUCUUUAAAAAAUUACUUUUAGAAAUGUAAGUUAAAUAGAUUUUAAAAACUAUAAUUUUUCUUUAAUAUAAGUUGUUAUUUUUUAUAGGUUGAAUAUAACAUGAAAUAGGACAAGAUAAUAUAUCAUAUCUCAUUUUUUAUUGGUAAUAUUAGGGGUGCAACUUGUACGGGUUGGUUUGACCCAAUUGGAACCCAAUCCAAUGUUUGGGUGAACUUAGGCAAAUAUUUCCAUUACUUGAGUUAAACUUGAAUUAAGUUUUUUCAACUCGAAUUCAAUUUGAAUUGGAUCCAAGCUAAGGUUUAAAAAACUCGAGGAUAACUCGAACUUGAUUUAAUAUUUUUAUGAUAUUUAUAAUGUUAAUGUUUAUUAUUUUAAAUGAUAAUAUUCAUUUUCUUUUUAAUUUUGGAAGAAAAAAAUAUCAAAUUAUAAUUAUAUCACACAGUUAUUACUUUUUAAAAAAGAUAUAUAAGUUUAUUUUUACUUUUUUUUAUUAUCUUGAAAUUUUGUGCUAUUUAUUAUUUAAAUUUUGAUAUAAAUAUAUAGAAAAUAAGUUUUUUUAAAAACUAUUAUAGAUGAAUUUUAAAUCUUUCAGCACAAUGAAUCCAAAUAAUUUGAGUCUAACUCAAUCAACUCGAGUUUAACCCAAUCAACUCGAUCAACUUGAGAUCAACUUGAAUUUAGAAAAUAAGGUUAGGCUAGGCUUGGGUUAAGUACUUUGGGUUAGAGGACGAGUUAUGUUAACCUUAACUUGAUUCUUUCUUAAUUUGUGUUGGAUUUGAGUUAGCUAUUAACUCAACCAACUCGCCCAAGUUGCCAUCCAAGUUGCAGCCCCAAGUAAUAUUUUAGGAUAAGUUAUCUUAUCAUAUUUCAUAUAUUAUAUCUUAUAUUUAACAAAAUAGGAUAUUUAACAAAAUAUGCGUUUGGUAUAAAAUAGGUAGUAAGAUACUUUGGUAUAAAAUAGGUAGUAAGAUACUAAGAUAAAAUGUCUUUUUUCUCUUUUUAUUUUUUUUCUUUUAUACAUAUUAAUUUUAAAUAAUACUCUUUAUUUAUUUAUUAUAAUAUCUAAUGGACACUACAAAACGUUGUAUAGAUCACCUAGUAAAAUGAAAAUAUUAAAUCAAAUUAAAAGUGUGUUCAACUAUUAUUUUAGAAAGUAUUUCUAAUUUUUCUAAGAUUUCAGUAUUAAAUAUAUUAGAAGCAUUUCUUAAAAUCAUUGUGAAAUAAACUCUAAUUUAUAUAUUUAAAAAUCACUUUUAUAAAUUUUAAAAUUUAAGUUACUAAAAUUCUUUUGAUGUCUUAAUUUUUUAAAUAAUUUUUAAAACUUUUAUUUAUUUUUAAAUAAAAGGAAAUCUAUUAGUUUUUGGAUCUUCCCAUAUUGUUUACCAUUAACAGCCAUGAGGCGUUACCUCUUUUUUUUUUUUUUUUUAAUCGUGAAGUUCGAUUGACGUGUAAUUCUGCUUAAAAUAAAUUAAGUGUAUGUUUAACAAAAAAUUUUAAAAGUAUUUUUAAUUUAAAAGGUAUUUAAAAAAAAACAUAAGAUGAAAUUACUUAUAAUGUUAUUUGGUGAAACAUUUUAUAGAUAUAUUCUUUUAAAAAAUAUUAAGAAAAUACUUUCAUUUUAAAACAUGGAGAACAUUCUUAAAUGUGCUUUAUUUAAUUUCUAUUUUUUAAAAAAUUAAAAUUUAUUUUUUAAAUAAAAAUAGGAGAAUCCGACAUUUUUAUUAGCUAUAGAAUACUCUUUUUGUAAUAGAAAUGAUAAUAAGAUGAGUUUUUCUUUUGUUUUUCUUUUAUUUUUUAUUUUAUCUAUCCUGCCCUAAUGGAACAUGUUUAAAAUUUAAAUAAAUAAGUUGGAAAUAAGUUUGAGAUUUUUUAAAAAAUAUAUAACAGAUUUGGGUGUUAAGUCCUUAUACUCAUAUUAUGUACAAAAUUAAUUUACUUUAAUUUUAAAUUUUUUAUUUUUAAUAUGUAACAAUAAUAAAAAAUAUUUUUUAAUAUAAUAAAUUAUAAAAAAUUAUAGUAUUUUAAUUAUUUAUAAAAUAUAUUUAUUUUAAUAUAAUAAAAAAAAAGUUAGAUUGAAUGGGCGAGGCAAGAUAAGUAUAAGAAAUUUGCGUACCAUUAAGACUCUCUUCCACAUGCCACGUCUCCAGAACCUUCCCGGUGACACUGCACAACCGUUGGAUCAUACCUGAGGCACGUGUCAGCAGGCAACCCAAGAUCACAUGACCUAUGAAGUUACCAAAUUAUGCUCACCCUCUUCAAUUUUAAAUAUCAUUUAUCGCUUAUUUAAGCCACAAACGCGCCAUCGGCAUCCUCAAUUAAGAAGGAAAGACAACCCAGAGUCAGAUUCUCCAGCCUCAGCUCUCUCUAGAACCGUCGUCUCUCUUCCUUCCCAUCCACUCUAGCACAUUCUCGCUCACAUGGCUCCUGAAAUCAUCUCCGCUUCGGGAAAACCGUCCGGAUUUUUGAAACCGGCUAGUCUUCCGGACAGAGCAUACGUGGCCUUCUUGGCCGGUAACGGGGACUACGUGAAAGGUGUUGUUGGGUUAGCCAAGGGGCUGCGGAAGGUGAAAUCCGAUUACCCGCUUGUGGUGGCGGUGUUACCGGACGUGCCGGUGGAGCACAGCCGAGAACUGGAAUCCCAGGGGUGCAUCGUCAGAGAGAUUGUGCCGGUUUACAAGAACCAGACCCAGUUCGCCAUGGCCUAUUACGUUAUCAAUUAUUCAAAGAUCCGUAUCUGGGAGGUACGUGAUAGUACUUUCUCAUUACCUCUAUCACUAUUUUUGUCAUUUUGCAUGAAUCUUUGCAUGAUUUGUAGAUUUACAUGCCAUUUUUGUAUGAAUCAGUUCGUGGAGUACAGUAAGAUGAUAUACUUGGAUGGGGAUAUUCAAGUCUACGAUAACAUUGACCACCUCUUUGAGCUACCAGACGGACAUUUCUAUGCAGUGAUGGACUGUUUCUGUGAGAAAACAUGGAGUCACACGCCACAGUACAAGAUUGGAGACUGCCAACAGUGUCCGGAAAAGGUUCAGUGGCCGGCGGAGCUGGGUCAGCCGCCUUCACUUUACUUCAACGCAGGCAUGUUUGUGUUUGAGCCCAGCCUCUCCACCUAUGAAGAUCUCUGGGAAACCCUCAGGAUCACCCCUGCAACCCCUUUUGCAGAGCAGGUAAACACAUAAGCUUUUGCUGAUGAUAUUCUUCCAACAUAAUCCGGUUGUGGUUCUGGGAUUUUGUUAUUUAGGAAAAUGUGUAUGUGUUUUUGGCAGGAUUUCUUGAAUAUGUACUUCAGGGAUGUAUAUAAGCCUAUUCCUCUGGUCUACAAUCUUGUCCUUGCCAUGCUGUGGCGGCAUCCUGAGAAUGUAGAGCUUGAUAAAGUGAAAGUUGUUCACUACUGUGCAGCGGUGAGUACCACAGAAGAUUGAUUUUGGGAGAUUAAUUCGUAAGUUAUAACCUGUGGUGGUUAUGUAUACUAAUACAAAUAUUAGUGAAUGGUAUACCAGGGGUCGAAGCCAUGGAGGUACACAGGGAAGGAGGACAACAUGCAGAGAGAGGACAUUAAGAUGCUGGUAAACAAAUGGUGGGAGAUAUACAAUGACAAGUCAUUGGAUUACAAGAAGACGAGGAUGAUGGCGAAUGAUUACAGCAGCGUUUUGCCGGGGGAGCAGGUGAAUUUGGAGCCUUUCAUUGCAGCUCUUUCCGAGGUGGGGCAUGUUGAAUUUGUGAGAGCCCCUUCAGCAGCCUAGAAGAGGCCAGUACUCUCGUGGAGAAGAGGAUCCAAGGGGCAUGCAAUCAGA